This 21-nucleotide microRNA is filed under the name Caenorhabditis briggsae. RNAcentral describes it as "cbr-miR-360". Its record names the gene cbr-miR-360. Lineage: Eukaryota; Metazoa; Nematoda; Chromadorea; Rhabditida; Rhabditidae. RNAcentral also lists the same sequence under 1 other name. The record is from miRBase by way of RNAcentral.
UGACCGUAAUCCCGUUCACAA